RNAcentral lists this ribosomal RNA (253 nucleotides) under uncultured bacterium. RNAcentral's name for it is "partial 16S ribosomal RNA". It matches the Rfam family "Bacterial small subunit ribosomal RNA", at positions 524 to 776 of the family's 1533-position model. The record is from RNAcentral.
UACGUAGGGACCAAGCGUUGUCCGGAAUCAUUGGGCGUAAAGAGCGUGUGGGCGGCUUGUUAAGUCUUGCGUGAAAUCUCGGGGCUCAACCCCGAGCGGUCGUGAGAAACUGGCAGGCUAGAGUGCGGGAGAGGAGAGUGGAAUUCCUGGUGUAGCGGUGAAAUGCGCAGAUAUCAGGAAGAACACCCGUGGCGAAGGCGGCUCUCUGGAACGCAACUGACGCUGAGACGCGAAAGCGUGGGGAGCAAACAGG